RNAcentral lists this ribosomal RNA (392 nucleotides) under uncultured bacterium. Its description in RNAcentral is "partial 16S ribosomal RNA". It matches the Rfam family "Bacterial small subunit ribosomal RNA", at positions 523 to 918 of the family's 1533-position model. The record is from RNAcentral.
AUACGGAGGAUCCGAGCGUUAUCCGGAUUUAUUGGGUUUAAAGGGUGCGCAGGCGGCCAUUUAAGUCAGCGGUUAAAUCGUGGGGCUCAACCCCAUUCUGCCGUUGAUACUGGGUGGCUUGAUUGCGGUCGAGGUUGGCGGAAUUCGUUGUGUAGCGGUGAAAUGCAUAGAUAUGACGAAGAACACCGAUUGCGUAGGCAGCUGACCAGAUCGCAAAUGACGCUUAUGCACGAAAGUGCGGGGAUCGAACAGGAUUAGAUACCCUGGUAGUCCGCACAGUAAACGAUGAAUACUUGUUUUCGGCGAUAUAAUGUCGGAGGCAAAGCGAAAGCGAUAAGUAUUCCACCUGGGGAGUACGCCGGCAACGGUGAAACUCAAAUGAAUUGACGGGG